RNAcentral lists this ribosomal RNA (497 nucleotides) under uncultured bacterium. RNAcentral's name for it is "partial 16S ribosomal RNA". It matches the Rfam family "Bacterial small subunit ribosomal RNA", at positions 28 to 507 of the family's 1533-position model. The record is from RNAcentral.
GAUGAACGCUGGCGGCGUGCCUAAUACAUGCAAGUCGAGCGAACAGACGAGGAGCUUGCUCCUCUGACGUUAGCGCCGGACGGGUGAGUAACACGUGGAUAACCUACCUAUAUGACUGGGAUAACUCCGGGAAACCGGAGCUAAUACCGGAUAACAUGUUGAACCGCAUGGUUCACCAGUGAAAGACGGUCUUGCUGUCACUUAUAGAUGGAUCCGCGCCGCAUUAGCUAGUUGGUGAGGUAACGGCUUACCAAGGCAACGAUGCGUAGCCGACCUGAGAGGGUGAUCGGCCACACUGGAACUGAGACACGGUCCAGACUCCUACGGGAGGCAGCAGUAGGGAAUCUUCCGCAAUGGGCGAAAGCCUGACGGAGCAACGCCGCGUGAGUGAAGAAGGUCUUCGGAUCGUAAAACUCUGUUAUUAGGGAAGAACAAAUGUGUAAGUAACUAUGCACGUCUUGACGGUACCUAAUCAGAAAGCCACGGCUAACUACGUG